RNAcentral lists this ribosomal RNA (523 nucleotides) under Pseudomonas sp. NZHA9. Its description in RNAcentral is "bacterial SSU rRNA". It matches the Rfam family "Bacterial small subunit ribosomal RNA", at positions 8 to 526 of the family's 1533-position model. The record is from RNAcentral. Lineage: Bacteria; Pseudomonadati; Pseudomonadota; Gammaproteobacteria; Pseudomonadales; Pseudomonadaceae.
AGAGUUUGAUCCUGGCUCAGAUUGAACGCUGGCGGCAGGCCUAACACAUGCAAGUCGAGCGGUUGAGAGAAGCUUGCUUCUCUUGAGAGCGGCGGACGGGUGAGUAAUGCCUAGGAAUCUGCCUGGUAGUGGGGGAUAACGUCCGGAAACGGACGCUAAUACCGCAUACGUCCUACGGGAGAAAGCAGGGGACCUUCGGGCCUUGCGCUAUCAGAUGAGCCUAGGUCGGAUUAGCUAGUUGGUGAGGUAAUGGCUCACCAAGGCGACGAUCCGUAACUGGUCUGAGAGGAUGAUCAGUCACACUGGAACUGAGACACGGUCCAGACUCCUACGGGAGGCAGCAGUGGGGAAUAUUGGACAAUGGSCGAAAGCCUGAUCCAGCCAUGCCGCGUGUGUGAAGAAGGUCUUCGGAUUGUAAAGCACUUUAAGUUGGGAGGAAGGGCAGUUGCCUAAUACGUAACUGUUUUGACGUUACCGACAGAAUAAGCACCGGCUAACUCUGUGCCAGCAGCCGCGGUAAUAC